GUCCGCGUGGCCUAGUGGAUAAGGCGUCUUAAUUCGGAUCAGAAGAUUGCAGGUUCGAGUCCUGUCGCGGACG
Molecule: transfer RNA, 73 nt
Filed under: Rhipicephalus microplus (southern cattle tick)
Lineage: Eukaryota; Metazoa; Arthropoda; Arachnida; Ixodida; Ixodidae
Description: tRNA-Arg
Rfam family: tRNA
About the family: Transfer RNA (tRNA) molecules are approximately 80 nucleotides in length. Their secondary structure includes four short double-helical elements and three loops (D, anti-codon, and T loops).
Source: Rfam by way of RNAcentral